Drosophila miranda is the source of this 3411-nucleotide long non-coding RNA. RefSeq lists it as uncharacterized. The record is from RefSeq and is a predicted model, not a curated record. The transcript has 2 exons. NCBI's taxonomy places the organism in Eukaryota, Metazoa, Arthropoda, Insecta, Diptera, Drosophilidae.
UGCGAUGCAAGUUCGUUGGGUUUCGGGUCAAUUCUAAUGCAGAAGAAGGGUGAUGGCAGAAUGCACCCAGUCUUCUAUUUCUCCAAGCGAACAACAAUUACCGAAGCCAAAUACCACAGCUUUGAGCUGGAGACACUAUGCACUACAACGGUUUAGAGUAUACGUGCAAGGCAUAACCUUCAAAAUAGUGACAGACUGCAACGCGCUAACUAUGACUCUAAACAAAAAAGAACUCAAUCCACGCAUUGCCCGCUGGGCGUUAGAGUUACAAAAUUAUGACUACAAAUUAGAACACAGGUCAGGAAGCAGAAUGCAACACGUAGAUGCGCUAAGCAGAGCCAUUCAGAUACUCACGGUAGACACAAACACAUUUGAAGAAAAUGUAAUUAUAUGCCAAAACAGAGAUUGCAAACUGAUGGAGCUGAGAGAAACGUUACAGAAAUCAGAACACAAACAUUAUGAGAUGAGAAACGGAAUAAUAUACAGGAAAAAAGAUAACAAUACUAUCCUAUUCUGCGUACCCGAGGAAAUGGAAGGCCACGUACUCUAUAAGUACCACGAUGAACUAGGGCACGUCGGGAUAGACAAGAUGACCGACGCUAUAUCGCUAUACCAAAAGGGUCGGGACCAUUCGAGGUAGUACAUAUCGACCAUUUCGGGCCAGUCGACAAAGGCAGGGCCAACAAACAUGUUUUAGUAGUAAUAGACGCGUUCACCAAAUUCGUAAGACUUUAUACGACCAAAACCACUAGCACAAAGGAAGCAGUAAUUGCAAUGAAAGAUUAUUUCCGAGCUUACAGUAGACCCAGAUGCAUUGUGUCAGACAGAGGAAGCUGUUUCACGUCAAAAGAGUUUGAAGAAUUCUUAGAACAGAGCAAUGUUAAACACGUAAAGAUAGCAACAGGGUCGCCACAGGCCAACGGGCAGGUAGAAAGGGUGAACAGAAGUUUGGGACCCAUGAUUGCAAAGCUUGUUGACCCGGAAAAAGGAUUACACUGGGAUAUGGUAGUAGAAACAGUAGAACACGCGAUGAACAACACAAUUCAAAGAACAAUUAAUGAACACCCGAGUAGAAUGUUGUUUGGGGUCGUACAAAAAGGAAAGGUUUCAGAUUUACUAAAAGAUCAUCUAGAAGAACUAACCGAACAACGGGCAACAAGGGAUCUAGAAAAGAUUAUAACAGUAGCAGGCACUCAUCAGGAAAAAAUACAGUCUUAUAACAAACAAGAAGCAGAUUCAAAGCGAAGGGAGCCACACGUGUACGUAGAUAAUGAUCUAGCUAUGGUGAGAAAUUUCGACACUCAUAUAGGGGUGUCUAAAAAGCUUAUCCCGAAGUUCAAAGGACCUUAUAAGAUAUCAAAGGUGCUAAAAAAUGAUAGGUAUUUGCUAGAAGAUGUAGAGGGGUUUCAACAAUCAAGGAUCGCGUAUAAAGAAGUUUGGGCGGUGGCGAAUAUGAAGCCAUGGAUAGAAAAUGGUAAUAAUGCAAAUGUCACAGGGAAUCAAAAUGAAGAAAAUGAUUGAAAUACGUAAACUUAAAAUGUUAAGAGUAAACCACACCCAACUGUAAUAAAUCAAUCUAUCUAGAAACUAACUUAAAUGUAAGGAGUUCGGGAGCACUCCGGUCAGGAUGGCCAAAUUGUAGCAAGGUAAUAAUUAGUAAGGCAUUCAAUUAGUAUUUAAAAUAGCAUACAGCGCGCAUUGGUAUUUACCGCACCAUCGAUACACUCGGCGGGAAAUACCAAUAGUGAGAUAUCGGAUAAGAAACAUCGAUAAUAAAGUAACUUCACUUUGUAAAUGGCGAUCGUGAGAGACAGACGCGCAGCUAAUAAAAAGAGUUAUAUCAAAUCGCCGGGCUUGUGUUUUUGUACAUAGGCAGUUCACCCACACACCGAUAUUGGUCACUACAAUUCUCAGGUUAGACGGCCUACAAUUUCAGAAGUGGGAUAGGAUCAACCGCCGCCAGUGAAAAAUAGCGAAAAUUUUUAUUUUCUCGUCCGUCGAAGACGCCAUCGCUGAAAAAAACAUAUCGGGCUUGGUCGGCACGGAGGAGUUCUCGGCCGCCCAGCUGCGCGGAUGGCUGGAGUCCCCCAAUCUACCAAAAGGUGGAAGCAAAGCCGCCAUGGCAGCGAGACUUAACGAAAUACCAGUAGAGCUUCGGGGACAGGGACCACCGGCAGCCGAAACAAGCGAGAGCGAGAGGGAAGAUGAGGCAGCCGCAGAUCAAGACUCGACGAAGAGCGAACGCAAAGAGGCACAACAACAACCACGGCGAAUAUCGAGCAGACGUUGAAAUAUUAAAAUUGCAAAUCGAGCUGCUGAAGCUGCAGAGCGAGAGAGAGAAGGAAGGGAGAGUAGAGAACACAACACCAGCCGCCAACAAUGACGCUGGCGUCAUGCUGCUAAUUGCCGCCAAAGACAUGUUGCUAACAUAUCAUGGCAACAUUUCUGCAAACAACGAUGACGUCACAACUUGGAUCGCGCAGUUUAAGGCCAUCACAAAAGUGAACAAACUCCAAAGUGGCGCUGGCAUCCCGCAUAGUCAUUGACGACGAGGAGUUUAUCGACGGAGUCAUUGAAGGUAUCCCAGAUGUAGGCCUGCGUAGGCAAGCCCACAUGCAGUGAUUUGGUGCUCCAUAUCAACUACUCAAGGCAGUUCAACUGAAGGGGCAAACACUGGAGCCUCGCCAACACCCACUCGCUGCUACAACUGCAACUCUUUGGGCCACGUGGCAGGGGAGUGCCGCAAGCCCAAGCGCGAAAGAGGAGCGUGAUACGGAUGCGGCAGCAUGAGUCACCAGGUGUCACACUGUGACGAAAAGAAGAACAAGAUUGCCUCAUCGACUCAGGGAGCCCAAUAAGUUUUAUAAAGUUAUCAUGUCUAGAGCACCAGUCGGAAAAUAAACUAAAUAAAGCGGAAGAGCGCUCACGAUUAAGUUCAAAUGAAAUCAAAGAAGAUGAUUUAAGUUUAUAUAAGUUUAACAAAGACAAGAAAAACAGAGAAAUUGAAUUUAUUUUGAAUAAAAAUUCGGAUUACGCUUAUGUUGGACUAAACAAUAGCAAACUUAACAUCUUUGGUAAAAUACCCAGUUUUGUAAUUAUUAACAAAAAUCGAAUCAACUUUGAAUUACUAGUAGUGGCAGACGAGUCGAUGGGCUAUGAGGCUGUGUUAGGUAGGGAUUUUAUGAAUUUAUGCAAAUUUAAAAUUGUAAGUGAAAUUUGCAAGGAGAAGGAGAGUGGGACAAAAAACAAGUGCGAAAUAGAAAAUAAUUGUACAGAAAGGAGCAAGCGUGAAACAGAUAACGAAAAAGGAAUAAAAAAUGAGUGUUUAGGAGAAGAUGAGUGGUUAGAAGAAAGUGAGUGUGACAUAAAAAAUGAGUGUUUAGAAGAAAAUGAGUGUGGAAUAGAGAAUGA